AAAAACAUUCAUUAUAAAAAGGUCCUAUACAUGCCAUUUAUAACCUUGGCCAAAAUAACUCAACAACUACCGAAGUGGUUGCUAGAUAGUGUGAUAGAUCUUCGACAAACUUUCAACCGAUCAAGCUUCUGAUAAUCUACGAAACAAAAGAAAAUAACUACGUAAGCAACUAGUGCUUAGUAAGCUCGUAUAAACUCAAACAUAACUUACCAUUCUUAAGCUCAAUUUAUAAAAUGUGCAUAACAUCUUUACUAUACUCAUAAGCUUAAUACAAUCCUAUAAGCAUCACCAAACUCACAAAUUAGUAGGCUCAUGUAUAAUGCAUAUAGAAAAUCAACCAUUUCACAAAUGAAUCUUCAUGAACAUAACAUUCAUCACAUAAUCAUAUAGUUCCAUUCAAUUCACUUGCAUUCAUCCAAAUUUACCUUUCAUAAAUUUAUGAGCAAUUAUCCAUUUAAACACAUGCCUUGCCAAUUACCUUUACUUACCCGUUGAACCAUCUAGAAUUACAUCGGAUACUUAAGAAUGCUCACACAUAGUGUGCCUUCCCAUAUAACUAUAACCUUUCUUUUUCAAUAGUGCUCACACGAGCUAUGAAAUGGGCCUGUUCACACGAGUUGUGUGUUGGAAUGGUAGCUACACGAUGCUGCUCACACGAGCUAUGGAGAAUCCGCAAUAAAUGCAAGACCUUAGCCAUUGGUAAGGCAUUCAAGACCAACACCUGAAACACGAAAUCCCUAAUAACAUGUCAUUCAUAUCCUAAAAAUUCUUAAGGUUCAAAUGAGAUUAUUUAUCCAUCAAUUACUCAAAGCAUCGAUAUAUAUCCAUUUUCAAGUCAGUUUAUAACUAACACAACAUGACCGAUAAACAAUCAAACCAUCAUUAAUAAUAUUAUAAUUUAUACAAACUUACCUCGACAACUAUGGUUGCAAUAACAGAGUUGAACUCUAGUCUAAAGCUUUAGUUUUUCCUCUAUUUAAGUCCGGUUGUUAUUUAUCUUGAUCUAAAUAAAUAGUUUCAUUCAAUUAAGUACUUCAAUUAACCUCAAGUAUUCAACACAAUUUAUAAUUCAUAUUAUUAUAAAAUUACAAAGUUACCCCUCUCAUUUUAACUUUUCACAAAUUAGUCUUUAAGCUCGUAACUUAAAAUUUAACCAUUUUAACCUAAACCCAUGUUAACUGAUUCUACUAGGGAUCUUGAACAACCCAUAAUUACCAACAUUUCACAUUAAAACCAAUGGAUUUUCACUUUCAAUAAUUUAAUCCCUAAUCUCAAAUUAUCAAAAACUAUUUAACAAAACAAGUUUGUUUGACAACCAAGAUUAAUAAUCUAUCAACUAACAUCAAAACACAUUCAAACUCAACUAUGGAAAGUCCCUCAACCUUUAACAAUUUUGCAAAUUAACCACCCGAGUUAAGUAGUUUAAGCUAAAACGAGCUCAAAAACAUAAAAAUCAAUAAAAACGAGGCUUAAUUACAUACCAUGCAAGGUGAAACACCAUGACCGAAAGCUUCUCCCCCUUUCUAAUGGCUAAUCGGUUUUGAAACAAUCAAAUAAAGAAGAUUAUGAUUUUAACUUAAUUAAUUUUAUGUUUAUUUACUAAUUUACCAUCUUACCCUUGUUAUUAAUUAAAAACUUCAAUUAAACCUUUUCCAUAACUAUCCACUAACUUAAUUAUGGCAUAAUUACCAUCUAAGUUCAUUAACUAUCCCUUCCAUAGCCAUUUAAUCAUUUUAACU
This 1739-nucleotide long non-coding RNA is filed under the name Gossypium barbadense (sea-island cotton). Its description in RNAcentral is "long non-coding RNA (GBAR_LNC014797)". Lineage: Eukaryota; Viridiplantae; Streptophyta; Magnoliopsida; Malvales; Malvaceae. The record is from RNAcentral.